This 402-nucleotide ribosomal RNA is filed under the name uncultured Rhodoplanes sp. RNAcentral's name for it is "bacterial SSU rRNA". It matches the Rfam family "Bacterial small subunit ribosomal RNA", at positions 355 to 774 of the family's 1533-position model. The record is from RNAcentral. Lineage: Bacteria; Pseudomonadati; Pseudomonadota; Alphaproteobacteria; Hyphomicrobiales; Nitrobacteraceae. RNAcentral also lists the same sequence under 1 other name.
UGGGGAAUAUUGGACAAUGGGCGCAAGCCUGAUCCAGCCAUGCCGCGUGGAUGAUGAAGGCCCUAGGGUUGUAAAGUCCUUUUAACGGGGAAGAUAAUGACGGUACCCGUAGAAUAAGCCCCGGCUAACUUCGUGCCAGCAGCCGCGGUAAUACGAAGGGGGCUAGCGUUGCUCGGAAUUACUGGGCGUAAAGCGCACGUAGGCGGGUUGUUAAGUCGGGGGUGAAAUCCUGGAGCUCAACUCCAGAACUGCCUUCGAAACUGACGAUCUUGAGUUCGGGAGAGGUGAGUGGAACUGCGAGUGUAGAGGUGAAAUUCGUAGAUAUUCGCAAGAACACCAGUGGCGAAGGCGGCUCACUGGCCCGAUACUGACGCUGAGGUGCGAAAGCGUGGGGAGCAAACA